UACAACCCUCAAAAGUGAAAAGCUGAAUUUUCAAUGGUGUUUGGUUUGGCUUUUAAGAAUUGAUUCUAUCCUCCAAAAGCAAUUAUCCAUGAAGCUACAAAUCCUAACUUUUGGCUUUUGUAGAAUCAAUUCUACAUUAAACUAUUAUCAAUUCCAUAACUACCCUCUUAAUUAUCAUCAAUUUUUAUCACCCUUUCUCCAACCAUAUUUGUUUUUCUCUACCUGGAACCUUAAAUUCAUUCGCUCCACUGUCUACUUUUCUCUAGCUAGAACUCAACCACCCUUCACAAAUUUAAUCUAAAAAUUUAUUGCUAUUAGGUUAUAUAACAACACCACCUCCUGCUAGCAAAUAUCUACUCAAGAGAACAACAAAAAGGAAAAAUUCUGCUCAAAAGAUAACAAUCAACAACAAGCAUUAUGGCUAAACAAAAGAAAGUUUAUGCGGAUUGGUCGGAUCUUAAAGUGAAUGAAAUAUUCAUCCAAACAUGUUUGGAUCAAGUUGUCAAGAAUGAACGCGUUAGCACUAGCUUUACUAAGAAAGGGUGGAAAAACAUUGUUUGCCAAUUUCAUGAAUCAACCGGGAGAGAUUAUGACAAGAUUCAAUUGAAGAAUAGGUAUGAUGCCUUGAAAAAGGAAUGGAGAGUAUAGUUUAACCUAUUUGGAAAAGUUACCGGAAUGGGGUGGGAUAAUGAGAGGAAUACCUUUGAUGCACCAGAUGAGUGGUGGGAGAACAAACAAUUGGAAAAUCCUCUCUAUGGAAAAUUUAGAGAGAAAGGACUUCCAUUUGCUAAUCAACUAAUCACACUUUUUAAGGAUGUGGUGGCUAACGGGAGCAUGCUUGGGCACCUUCAAGUGGCAUAUUGCCCAACGAGGACUGUGGUACUGAUGUUGGUCAAGACGUAAAUAAUAUUGACUUGGAUGUGGGAGAAGGAUCAGGUGAUAGUGAAGAUGUGAGUAUUGGAGCAACUGGAGAAUUUGCAAAUAUUAAUUUGAAUAUUUCACAAGGAGCUUCUAGCCAAAUUAGUGGACAAAAGAGAAAGAGAGCUGGUGGUGUUGAUAAGAAAACCAAGAAAAAGACAACUCCCGCAUUGGCAAUAGCUGAAGCUAUGAAAGAGAUUGCUGAGACAUGUAAGACGAGAAAUGAUGUUUUAACUAAUGCAUCUAUUGGUGAUGUGAUGGCUGAGCUCCAUAGCAUGGAUGAAAUUACAAGUGAUGUAGACUUGUUCGCAAAAUGUUGUCAACUAAUGAUGUUCAAGCCAGCUAGGGAGAUGUUUGUUUCCUUUCAAGGCUUUAAGGAUAGAAGGUUGAAAUGGCUUAAGUAUGCAACAGAUAACCCUAUGUCAUUUAUGAAGAUGUAACUGUUUCGGACUCUCUUAAGUAUCAGGACUUAUCUUAUAUUAGGAGUAAGCUUAAGUUUUAGGAGUUAUCUUAUAUUAGGAGUAAGCUUAAGUAUGAAUCUGCUAUAAAUAUUAGGAGUAAGUUUAAGUAUUAGGAGUGAUCUUAUAUUAGGAGUUAUCUUUAAUGAUGUGGAUCCUUUUAGAACUUGCACUGUAACAUAUAAUGUAACAUGUAAUAUGUCUUUUGAAAUUUGAAUG
Long non-coding RNA from Medicago truncatula (barrel medic), 1595 nucleotides. RefSeq lists it as uncharacterized. The record is from RefSeq and is a predicted model, not a curated record. NCBI's taxonomy places the organism in Eukaryota, Viridiplantae, Streptophyta, Magnoliopsida, Fabales, Fabaceae. The transcript is spliced from 3 exons.